Molecule: ribosomal RNA, 832 nt
Filed under: uncultured archaeon
Lineage: Archaea
Description: bacterial SSU rRNA
Rfam family: Archaeal small subunit ribosomal RNA
Source: RNAcentral
GGUCACUGCUAUUGGGAUUCGACUAAGCCAUGCGAGUCGAGAGGGUUCGGCCCUCGGCUGACUGCUCAGUAACACGUGGAUAAUCUGCCCUAAGGUGGAGGAUAACCUCGGGAAACUGAGAAUAAUACUCCAUAGGUCUAAGAUGCUGGAAUGCAUUUAGACUGAAAACUCCGGUGCCUUAGGAUGAGUCUGCGGACUAUCAGGUUGUAGUCAGGGUAAAGACCUGACUAGCCUACGACGGAUACGGGUUGUGAGAGCAAUAACCCGGAGAUGAUAUCUGAGACACGAUAUCAGGCCCUACGGGGCGCAGCAGGCGCGAAAACUUCACAAUGUGCGAAAGCGCGAUGAGGGAAUCCCAAGUGCUUGCACGUAAGUGUAAGCUGUUUCUUUGUUUAAAAAGCAUAGAGAGUAAGGGCUGGGUAAGACGGGUGCCAGCCGCCGCGGUAAUACCUGCAGCUCAAGUGGUGAUCGUUAUUAUUGGGCCUAAAACGUCCGUAGCCGGUUUAGUAAAUGCCUGGGUAAAUCGUGUAGCUUAACUAUACGACUUCCGGGUAGACUACUAAACUUGAGACCGGGAGAGGCUAGAGGUACUCCUGGGGUAGAGGUGAAAUUCUGUAAUCCUAGGGGGACCACCAGUGGCGAAGGCGUCUAGCUAGAACGGGUCUGACGGUGAGGUACGAAGCCCUGGGGCACAAACCGGAUUAGAUACCCGGGUAGUCCAGGCCGUAAACGAUGCAUACUAGGUGAUGGUACGGCCAUGAGCCGUAUCAGUGCCGUAGGGAAACCGUUAAGUGUGCCGCCUGGGAAGUACGGUCGCAAGGCUAAAACUUAA